AUACGGAGGGUGCAAGCGUUAAUCGGAAUUACUGGGCGUAAAGCGCACGCAGGUGGCUAGGUCAGUCGGAUGUGAAAGCCCUGGGCUUAACCUGGGAACUGCAUUCGAUACUGCCUAGCUAGAGUAUGGGAGAGGGAAGUGGAAUUCCCGGUGUAGCGGUGAAAUGCGUAGAUAUCGGGAAGAACAUCAGUGGCGAAGGCGGCUAUCUGGACCAAUACUGACGCUGAGGUGCGAAAGCGUGGGGAGCAAACGGGAUUAGAAACCCCAGUAGUCC
Molecule: ribosomal RNA, 274 nt
Filed under: uncultured bacterium
Lineage: Bacteria
Description: partial 16S ribosomal RNA
Rfam family: Bacterial small subunit ribosomal RNA
Source: RNAcentral